ACUCAAAGGAAUUGACGGGGACCCGCACAAGCAGCGGAGCGUGUGGUUUAAUUCGACGCAACGCGCAGAACCUUACCCAGAUUUGACAUGGCACUGCUAACCCCUGAAAGGGGGCUCCUUCGAGGGUGUGCCACCGGUGCUGCAUGGCUGUCGUCAGCUCGUGUCGUGAGAUGUUGGGUUAAGUCCCGCAACGAGCGCAACCCCCGUCGCCAGUUAUACGUGUCUGGCGAGACUGCCCUUCGGGGAGGAAGGUGGGGAUGACGUCAAGUCCGCAUGGCCCGUACGUCUGGGGCUACACACACGCUACAAUGGCGCCGAUAAUGCGUCGCGAGUGGGCAACCACGAGCAAAUCGACAACCGGCGCCCCAGUGCAGAUCGGGGGCUGAAACUCGCCCCCGUGAAGGCGGAGUUGCUAGUAACCGCGUAUCAGCCAUGGCGCGGUGAAUGCGUACCCGGGUCUUGCACACACCGCCCGU
RNAcentral lists this ribosomal RNA (476 nucleotides) under uncultured bacterium. RNAcentral describes it as "partial 16S ribosomal RNA". It matches the Rfam family "Bacterial small subunit ribosomal RNA", at positions 899 to 1397 of the family's 1533-position model. The record is from RNAcentral.